GGGUGCUGAGAGCGAAUAGCUCAGUAGACCUUGUUCAAUUUAGCUAUUCGUAAUUAAGCACUCUUGUAGACUUUAGGUCCUAGUCAUCCAGUAGUAAACUGCAAAAAGAAGAUCUUUUCCCAUUUUAUUCAUUUCUCUCUUUAUGUCAUCAUAACAUUUUACCACGAUUUCGCUAUGUCCUAUCACCCAUAUCGUCCUUAGCUGCAUAAAUAUAAACUACUACAGACAUAUGUACAUGCAGUGGAUUAACACAAAAAAGCUGUUUGAAGCCGACUUAAUUCUUAUAGAUCGCUUUACUAUUUUAACAUGAAUUUCGCUUAAAAAUUUUAUUUAUACAAAUAGUACUAAGCAAAUUGUCAUCCCCUAUAACCUAAUUACUUUGGAAGAAUAAUAUUGUGUAUAUAGUUGACAAAAUAAGAGUUUCCUUAACAGUAGAAACAAUUUGGAUAAAGUCCUUUAAGUUACCCCAAUUUCUUGAUAAACAAUAAUAGAAAUGUGAAAUAAAAGGAGAGCAGCUCAUCAGCAAAUGAGUUGCAGAAAAGUGUCAGAUACAAGAGGAAAUCAACGAAGUACAAAUGCUAAACUAACAACAACAAAAAAAUAAGCUUAGCAGCCUAAAAGAAUAGUACACACAAUUUAUAUACAAUAUAGUACAAUACAACCACAACAAAUACAAUUGACUGCGAAGAAAAGAAUAAUAAACAAUGCACAAUUUCAAUUUCAAUGGUCAUGACAGCGAAGAACGUUCACACACACACACACACACAGAAAUACAAAAAACACACAAACAUAUACAGCAAGUGCCCAGAUUACUGCCGUAGAUUCAUUACCUACUACACGCAUAUGGUAAAGGCCUACCACCCACACAACUACUGGUGGAACGUGCACUACGCCGUGCAACGCCGCGCUGCGUAUCCACAUCGGACCUCAUCCUUCGCUGCUCGGCGCUAGUGGGGAGCACACAAAAGACUAUCGCGCAAUCAACAAUGAAGAGAUACAAUUGUGACAACAACAAUAAUAACAACAAAAUAUAUAUAUAUACUUGAGAUAUUUCGCACAAUAAAGAAUGCCUCGUUGUUUGCGAAAUCAACGUGCUGACAGCGGCACUAACAACAAUCACAACAGAUAGUUUGCCAGCGACAAAUGACUUAAUGAGCAUCAUAAAUGUCGGCACACAAUUGAAGACAAUUUCGCGAUUUACUUGUAUUCAGUAACAGCGAGAGUGUAUUCACCGCUAUCGGUGGCAAACAGCAGCAACAAUACAAUUGUGGCAUUACAAAUCGUAGCGCUAUUGAAAGCAAAAGAAUAGCAAUUGGAUCCAAUUUAUUGUUGGGCAUUAAUUUGGCGACUUUUGAAGGUGGUUGAGGUAAAGGUUUCUCGGUUAUUGAAUAUUUGGUAAAUUCGUCCGGCGGCCUUCAAAUACUUCAAAUAUCUUCUAACUCGCACUCAAUUGGCAAAAGCGUUGCACUGAUAAGCAGAACAGUUCAAUUUUAUAAACGAAGUUGCGCUGGGCUAACAUGAAGGUAAGCUGACAAAAGUUCACAAUCUCGAAUUGGCCGACUGUAUAAAUCUCAACAGAUCGUCUGCAUAGUAACCUACAUGAAAUAUUGAGCAUGAGAAAGCUCUAGACGCGACGCUUUCCGCUUUUGUAGAUACUGGACAACAAGUAAUAAUACUUUUGAGGCAAUACACGAGCAGUUAGAAGGAUUUUCUGCAUCAUUUCAUGAACUUCUGCAAACCUUGGAAUCUGUGGUACACGCCAAACGCCAAGAAAUAGUAGAAAUAAUGGUCUUCACCCGAUGAACCUGCUCAGAAGAAGACGAAAACUGUCUUAUCCGCCGGAAAACUGAUGGUCACUGUUUUCUGGCAUACAUAAGAUGUAGCUCGAUCUAAUCGACUGCCUUGAAUACCUCGAUAAAGCCAAAACGCGACACAGGACUCUACUAAGGCGAAUUACUAUGCCGAUCAACGCCGAAAUGCACGCCUCCGCCUCCGCCGUCGCCAUAGCCAACUCGUCGACUUACGCUACGCAUUGUAUGCGCCUUCUUUUUCUGGAAAAACUUAAAAAAAAUUGCUAGUCGAGCAGAAAUACGAGAUGAAUGAGGAGGCUAAGAACUUAUCAGAU
This is a non-coding RNA of Bactrocera oleae (olive fruit fly), 2125 nucleotides long. Lineage: Eukaryota; Metazoa; Arthropoda; Insecta; Diptera; Tephritidae. The record is from RefSeq and is a predicted model, not a curated record.